AACGAACGCUGGCGGCAGGCCUAACACAUGCAAGUCGAACGCCGUAGCAAUACGGAGUGGCAGACGGGUGAGUAACACGUGGGAACGUACCUUUCGGUUCGGAAUAACUCAGGGAAACUUGAGCUAAUACCGGAUACGUGCGAGAGCAGAAAGAUUUAUCGCCGAAAGAUCGGCCCGCGUCCGAUUAGCUUGUUGGUGAGGUAAUGGCUCACCAAGGCGACGAUCGGUAGCUGGUCUGAGAGGAUGAUCAGCCACACUGGGACUGAGACACGGCCCAGACUCCUACGGGAGGCAGCAGUGGGGAAUAUUGGACAAUGGGCGAAAGCCUGAUCCAGCCAUGCCGCGUGAGUGAUGAAGGCCUUAGGGUUGUAAAGCUCUUUUGUCCGGGAAGAUAAUGACGGUACCGGAAGAAUAAGCCCGGCUAACUUCGUGCCAGCAGCCGCGGUAAU
Molecule: ribosomal RNA, 449 nt
Filed under: uncultured bacterium
Lineage: Bacteria
Description: bacterial SSU rRNA
Rfam family: Bacterial small subunit ribosomal RNA
Source: RNAcentral